This 494-nucleotide long non-coding RNA is filed under the name Rattus norvegicus (Norway rat). Its description in RNAcentral is "long non-coding RNA NONRATT029169". The record is from RNAcentral. Lineage: Eukaryota; Metazoa; Chordata; Mammalia; Rodentia; Muridae.
CCGGCAAAAGACGACAUCAGGCAGAAAGGGGAAGAAGGUGCCGCCGCCCACACCAACACCAUUGUCACAGAAAUGGAAACGGGACCGCAAACAGUCUCUGGAGUCAGCUUAUGUCCCCGUGGUGGUGGAUCCUCGCGGGCAGGAGCCAGACAGUAGUUUCAGGUUCAAUUUCUACAACUCACAGUAUUCCAACUCUCUCAAUCCCUUCUACACCCUGCAGAAACCCACCUGUGGUUACCUGUACCAGAGAGAAACUGACCACACACGGAAAUGCUUUGGCAUUCCUCCCGCAAACCUGGUCUUGUGGCGCAGCACCUACUAAAUCCAAGGCAUCUGGAAGUCCCCACCCUGCACCUUCACUCUGUGGUCCUGGGUCCCAGAGGGAAAAGUCAUUCAUUCCUGGAGAAGCGGCGUAUACCUGGGCUAGCCAGGUAUGCUGUGACAGCUGAGGGAGGCCUCUUCCCAAUAAACUUCAGUCCUUCUUUUUUUCUGGC